Molecule: ribosomal RNA, 324 nt
Filed under: uncultured eukaryote
Lineage: Eukaryota
Description: partial 18S ribosomal RNA
Rfam family: Eukaryotic small subunit ribosomal RNA
Source: RNAcentral
CCCUUAGAUGUUCUGGGCCGCACGCGCGCUACACUGAUGCAUUCAACGAGUUUACCUUGGCCGAGAGGCCUGGGCAAUCUUUUAAACCUGCAUCGUGAUAGGGAUAGAUUAUUGCAAUUAUUAAUCUUGAACGAGGAAUUCCUAGUAAACGCAAAUCAUCAAUUUGCGUUGAUUACGUCCCUGCCCAUUGUACACACCGCCCGUCGCACCUACCGAUUGAAUGGUCCGGUGAAGCCUCGGGAUUGUGGCCAGUUCACUUUAUUGGGAGUUGGCUGCGAGAACUUGUCUAAACCUUAUCAUUUAGAGGAAGGUGAAGUCGUAACA